Molecule: transfer RNA, 77 nt
Filed under: Cavia porcellus (domestic guinea pig)
Lineage: Eukaryota; Metazoa; Chordata; Mammalia; Rodentia; Caviidae
Rfam family: tRNA
About the family: Transfer RNA (tRNA) molecules are approximately 80 nucleotides in length. Their secondary structure includes four short double-helical elements and three loops (D, anti-codon, and T loops).
Source: Rfam by way of RNAcentral
GGGGGUGUAGCUCAGAGGUAGAGUGCAUACUUAGCAUGUAUGAGGCAAGGCCAUGGGUUCAAAUCCCAGAAUUGCCA